This 73-nucleotide transfer RNA is filed under the name Ixodes scapularis (black-legged tick). It matches the Rfam family "tRNA". Rfam says of the family: Transfer RNA (tRNA) molecules are approximately 80 nucleotides in length. Their secondary structure includes four short double-helical elements and three loops (D, anti-codon, and T loops). Lineage: Eukaryota; Metazoa; Arthropoda; Arachnida; Ixodida; Ixodidae. The record is from Rfam by way of RNAcentral.
CCCUAGGUAGCUCAGUUGGUAGAGCGCUCGACGGGAAAUGGAGAGGUCCCGGGUUCGAUACCCGGACCAGGCG